CUAUGAAGGAAAAUUGUUCAAUAGCUUAACAGGCUGAACCCAGCAACUUGGAGGAAUGAACGGCGAAAGCUGGUAAAAUGUGAUGUACCCGAUAGUAUUAGUAAUAAAAUACAAAGCUAACGAAAGUUAGUUAAAAUUCAAUGUAAAUAUUGAUUAUGACAAUAUUUGCUUAUUUCUUGACCAAGUCACGUGCCAGCAGUCGCGGCAACACGUGGUAGAUAAGUGUUAUUCAUCUUUAAUAGGUUUAAAGGGUACCUAGACGGUUAAUUAGACAUUAAGUGUACUUUUAUUAACUAGAGUUUAAUGUAAGAAGGAUUGAGUACGGUGAGUGGAGGGAUAAAAUACUGUGAUACCACUUAGAGGACUGGUAAAGGCGAAGGCAACCUUUUAUGUAAAAACUGACGUUAAGGGACGAAGGCUCGAUAAAAGUAACAGGAUUAGAUACCCUAGUAUUGUGGGCAGAAAAUGAUGAGUGUCAUAUGCAAGAAUGUUUUUGUGUAUAAAUGAAAGUGUAAGCACUCCACCUCAAGAGUAACGUGGCAACAUGGGAACUGAAAUCAUUAGACCGUUUCUGAAACUCGUAGUGAAGUAUGUUGUUUAAUUUGAUAUCCCACAAAGAACCUUACCACAAUUUGUAUAACUUGAUAACAAAACAUUAUAAAUUACUAUAUCUAAUACUAUAAUUAAGUAGUACAAGUUACAAGUGUUGCACGGCUGUCUUCAGUUAAUGUUGUGAAACUUUGGUUAGAUCCAUUUAAUUGACGUAAACCCUUCUUUAUUUGUUAUAAAGCAGUUCGCCGCCAUAAUGGUAGCGAUAUAAGGGACUAAGACAAUCAUCAGACGUCCAC
Molecule: ribosomal RNA, 848 nt
Filed under: Graphis pustulosa
Lineage: Eukaryota; Fungi; Ascomycota; Lecanoromycetes; Ostropales; Graphidaceae
Description: partial large subunit ribosomal RNA
Rfam family: Bacterial small subunit ribosomal RNA
Source: RNAcentral